RNAcentral lists this long non-coding RNA (8567 nucleotides) under Elaeis guineensis (African oil palm). RNAcentral's name for it is "long non-coding RNA (EGUI_LNC047736)". The record is from RNAcentral. Lineage: Eukaryota; Viridiplantae; Streptophyta; Magnoliopsida; Arecales; Arecaceae.
UUUAAUUUAAUUUAAUACUAAUUGGGUUCAAUUAUCCAAAUCAGAUUGGAAUUUCAAGCUCGAUUGGAUCAGGCUUGACAGCCUUUCGAAUUCGACUCGAUUUGAAUCCGAUUAAGAUCCAACUUUAACCAGUUGAACCAUGAUUCGGAAAGCCCAGGUUCCCUGGGACUCUCUCUAGUUUUCACGUAGAGAAGAGAAGGGAGUGCGUGAAAAUGCACCCCCUUUGUUUUUGCGUGCGUGAAAGGAGAGGGGGCACCAAUAGUUGGCACCCCACCCCACCUUAUCUGGAUUUCUCUUUCUUCCAUAUUUUUUUCUAUUUGAAUAUGAUUCAAAAUAGGAUAAAAACUUAUCUGAUUGGGGCAUGGAAGAAUUUUUUUUAUGUGACAAAAAAAUUGGAGAAAGUGGACGUGCGCUAAUUGUGAGAGGAGAUUUCUUUCUUACAAUACAACAUUAUCUCAAAACCCUUCUAUCCAUUGAUUUGGAUUUGCACGCCUAUGAUUUAAAGAGAUUAGAUCUCUUGGGCAUUAAGAAAGGUUUAGGCGUGAGAUAUUUGUUGGUUGGUGCGACAAAAAAAAAAGAGAGGUAGCGUGCGUGAGAUAGGAAGAGGGUCUUCUUUCUUACUGCAAACGUCAUCCAACGCCUCCUUUCUUUCUCCCCUACACCUAGAUCUGAUAGGUGAUCAGAUCUAAGAGAGAAAAAGAGAAAAAAAAAAGAAGAAGAAAGAUUCUUCCCUUCAUGGUGAUCUGGUUCAAAUCCCUUCAGAUCUGCGUGAAAAAGUUCGCGCAACGAUCUCCUUCUUCAAGAUCUAGAAGAAGAGAUCUAGAUUCAAGAUCGAGGAGCGAGAUCUACAAGGUGCUAGCACACCGAUGAUCUCAGUGCUCCAAUCAGACAUCUCCGUAUGGAUACCAGUAGAGGCCGGACGCGUGCGCGGCUACGAUCAGAACCCCGGACAUCCGCAGGAUCCAAGAUAUGGAGAUCUGAUCUUCGAUUUGUUUUUCUAACGAUUGUUUUUCUUUUAGAUUUCAGAUCAUGAUUGCAUGUUCGUGUCAAAAUUCUUGGUACGUAAAUAAAUUUAAAAUAUUUUAAUUUAUUUAUUGUCACUGCAUAAAUAUUUAAAAAAAAAUUUAAACUACACAUGCGAAACCGUAGCGGUUUUCUAACAGUAGUAUUAGAGCAUAGGUUCUGAUACGAACAUGAAAACUCCUCAGAUCUGAAAUCUAAUUUGUAGAAAUCAAAUCUGAAGGUUAGUUUGAUGAUCCACUCAUUUUGAAAUAAGAUUGUCCUGACAUAAUCCUAUUAUGCUGAAUGGUUGUCCUAGAACGAUGUAGAACAUCGAUUAAGGUUAGAUCUAAAUUUUCUACAUGCUGUAAUAUAAUUACAGGAUUAUUUUGGAUCUGAAAUUGUUUCAGAUCUGAAAUAUAUCAUGAGUUAUUUAGAUCUGAAUAUAUCAAUUAAGGUUUAAUUUGGAUCUAGUAUGAUUGCUGAAAUUUCUCUUAUAUGCACAGAUUUAAAAUUAUUGUUCAUAUGUUUGACAUGGAAAAAAUAAUUAGAUCUAAUUUUUUAAUUGAUUAUAUAUGUGAUAUGUUAGAUUAAAUUCUUAAUAGCUUAGUAAUCGAAUUGGGAUAAUCAUCAUGGCCAUCCGAUCAUAAGAUGAUGAAGGGAUUAAAGUCCCUCUCUUGCCCAUUUGAUGGGUUUUCUCUUAUGAUGUGUAGGGGUACUAACUGUGAUGUUUUCCAUGAAGAUGAACAGCGAAUGAAAAAUUAUAUGCGAUAUAUAUUUUAGAUUUAAAUCAAAUUAUGCAUGUAUUUUUAUGUUUUAAACCGAUUAAUAUUAUAUUUGAUAUAUUGUUUUGACACACAAUCUAUAACUUAAUUUCUGCAAAACCCUAUAUACAAAAUCCUAGGCUCUAUUUGCAUGAAACCAUGAAACUGUGAUUGCUAUGCCUAUGGAGUCAACUCGAUUCUCAAUUAGGUCAACUCAAGUGCUUGGUGAGUUGACUCAUUUUUGUUGGAGUCAACUCAUGACCCUAGUAGGUCAGCUCAUUUGCUGAUGAGCCGACUCAAUUAUGCAGGCUAGGUCUAUAGAUUUCUGUUUGUCUCAGUGUGUGCCGACUCACUGUGACAAGUCGAUUCGUGUACGAAGAUAAAUCGACUAGAUUCUGCAGACAAUCAUAUUGUAUGAGAUACAAUAUAAAUUGUUUAGAUUAUAAAAUAUUUCGAGAUCUAAACUCAAAUCCAUGUACAUAAUGCACUUAAUUGAGAAUUAAGAUUUGAAAUUAUAAGAUCUGAAAUUAUGAAUUUAAGAUCUAAAUUUCAAUGCAUAAAAUAUGGGCUUCGGAUAUGGGUUGAACAAAUUAGAUUUAGAGACUAAACAACAACUAGGAUCAUUGAUUAGAUCAGGUUAGAAUCCUUUUCAAUUUUGAGCAGUUGAUCAAACCUAAUCAAGAGUUGGUUGAGAUUAGGUCAAAGAGACUCAAAAUUGAAUUUAGUUGUAGUUGGUCAAAUUGAUUCAUAUUUGAUGUGAAUUAAUUAAGUCAAAACUGAAUUUGGCUCAGUGAUUCGAGCCCGAGUCUAUAGGUUAACCUAAUUGAUUCUAAUCAACCAAUUUGAUGUCUAAGGCAAGUCUUAGAUAGUAGUUCUUUAAUUGGUUCCGUUGUCUGACCUGACCAAUUCGUUGGCAUCUAAGGAAAGCAACGGGGGGACCCCCACUCAUCUUCACUUAUCUGGCCAUCUUGGGAGAUUAUAUUUUAUAUUAAGUUACUUGUUAACCCGAGUUCACCCAUACCGACUAGGUUGGUCAGACAUGAAAUGUGCUGACCUAAAUUAGAUUAAUCAUUACAUCAGAUGUAUGUGACUAAUUAGAAGAGAUCUAAAUUCAAAUGUCCUCACUAAAUAUUAAGUUUUCUGAUCUUCCACCAUUGUACAAAUGCGGAUGCCUUUUCCGACGUUGAUCGUUCUCGACUGAUUACAGUGAUUCAGUUGCAUCGAAAAGGUACAACCACUCUAUUAACAUUAGAUACCCCGAGGUAAAGAUGGGGUUGGACCCAAUAACUGUUAGGUGAGGGACCCAAUGAUGGCUUUGCACUCACUGGUGAACGAUGGGUCGGACUUAACUAAAAAAUAUGCCAAUAACUAUUAGGUGAGGCCAAAGGACUUAGAGACCAAGUUGCUGCAACAUGCUUGGAGAAGCAUCUGGACAAAGAGUUGUCCACACAUUGGUAUAUGUGUCACCAAUAACUGUUAGGUGAAGUGCCGUACAUCAAUAGGAUCGCAGCACCCACUAGAACCACUUAUCGCGUUAGAAUUUCCGUUUCUCCACCUGAAGAGUGUGAGAGACUCGAAAAAUUAAUAAGAGCCUUUGUUUGUUUUUAAAGUCCCUAAAACAAACUAUUACAAUUACAAUCAUCUAAUUAAAUCUUUACUCUCUAUGAUUAAUUCUUCAGCUUCUAACCCUCUAGCUCGAAUCGUAAAUAUCAACCACUUAACCGAAAUCAAUUACAUAUUUUGGCUCAAAAAUCUAAGAAUAGUUCUUAGCUUUUAGAAAUUAAGCCAUAUUUUUGACCAGAUUAACCCAAUGUCACCAGCUUGUCCAAUCCAUGGUCAACGAGCUAUACUUGAUAAAUGGUUAGACAUUGACAAUUAGAUUAGGUGCUAUAAAUUAGACUUCAUAGUUGAUAAAAUCCAAUGUACGCAUAAAAACAUGUAGACUGCCAAUGAUAUGCUGAUUCAUCUGCAAUAGUUGUGAGAUUAUUAGAGUUGCACAGUGCAUGAGAUAGGUGAUGGGCAGUUUGUUCAUGAUCGAUGAUCAAGAACAUUGAAGAGUUUGAAAAGCUCAACAUGACCAUGCAUAUGAAAUUGCUAAUGGAUUUGAUCCUGCAAUCUUUAAUUCAUACGGAUAAUUUGUGAAACUAUUAUAUGAAUAAAUAUUAUAGCACCUUAAUUGAAUUGAUCAAUAUGCUAGUAACUAAAGGAUCUUGAAAAGUUCAGAGGUACAUACCUGAAGAACCUAAAAAAAUAUUUAUAUGCCUUUGGAAGGUAUAUCGAAUUGCUCAAAAUUUGAUCUUACGGUUUUCUCUUUUUCAUUAGACUAGUACGCACUUUAAUAUAAGGUUUAAGAAAGAAAGAAGACUGAGGGAAGGUGAAGUGACUCUUUUGAGUCGGCAAUGGUGCAAAAGUUGCACUGAGGGCCAUCGGCACCUAAUCUCGAUGAUUAUCGUUUGGAUUUAGUUGUUGAUCAUUUGCAUAGUGAUGCAUUUGUGAACUUAUUUGAGCAAAAUAGUGAAUUUCAUUGGGUCUGAGAGAUCCAGAAUCAAAUUACCUAAAGCAUACAUAUGGCUCUUUUGGCUAGAUCAUGUAUGAGAAGAAACGAUUUGUCGAUUGGAGAAAAUGGGCCUUUAGGCUCAUUGACUGUUAAGUCAUAUCUAAUCUGUAAAUCAUCUCUUUGAAGAUUAAUGAUCAAGCUGUCCUUUAUAGGUUAAAGGGAUAAGACCACUCAGAUACUUACUCUAGCGCACAUACAAUAUGUAUGGCUCAUUUGAUAAGCCUGACUAGAAGGUUAUCACUACUUCAUCACCUUUACUGAUGAGCAGUCAUGGUAUAGAUAUGUAUGUAAGAUACAAAUCUAAAAGACUUUGAAAUAUUCAAAGAAUUCAGAUGUGAAGUAGAAAAAGAUAAAUCAGAAAAAUCCCAAAGGUACUUUGAUCAGAUCGAGGAUGCAAUACCAAAUAGAAAAUUUGUCGAUUAUCUAAAGAAAAUGGCAUAAUUUCAUAAUAGAAUUCUCCUUGUACACCUCAGCUUAACGGUGUAUAUGUGAGAAGCAAUGGUGCUAUAUGAGAUAUGGUCCGGUCCAUCAUGAACAUCACUAAUUCAAUUAUUGUUUCUUUAGGAACAAGGUUUAAUUUCUAAAAUUUAAAUUAGGUUUCCUCUAAAGUUGGUUUCACCACACCAUAUGAGAUAUGAUAUGGUGGACAGUUAGAGGAUAGGUCUGUGAGAGCUCGUUUACAGGGUAUCCCAAAAGGGUUUAAGAUGUCACUUUCUCUUUUCAGUGGUUCACAAUGUGAUUAUGAGCAAUCAUACUGUUUUCUUGAAAACAUUGGGAAGAUGAACUCAAAGAGAAUCUCUAAAGAACAACGAGUCACAGGACCUAUAUAACCUAUUUAAGAUAAGCCAAUAUAUGUAGUACCUCCUCCACCUCGUAGGUCUAGCAGGAUCUCCCAUCAUUUAGAAAGGUACUUGAUAUCCUUACAAACGAUUCAAAGGAAAAUAUUUCUCGAGGGAGAUUGAGAACAUAGGGAUGAUCCCAAAACCUACAACAACGUGAUAUGAGAAAUCAUGUAGUUACAUGAAGGUCAGUGGGAGGGUCCCACGCUGAUAUUGGUUAUGAUGUGGUUACAUAUAGAAUUUUCUUUUCAAAGACCUAUGUUAAACAUUCUGAAAAUAAAGGUCUAUAGAGAGAUCCUGAAAGGAUGUUUAUUUUUCACAGACAAGUAUAUGGAGGAGCUGCUGAAAGGGUUCAGCAUUGAAACCUCCAAGAGGGAUCCGUUAUCCUCUUAGGCAUGGGUGUAUGCCAUGCUAUGUACUCGACUUGGUAUAUCUUGCUGUGAAAGUCACGAGUAGAUAUUAAUCGAAUCCAGACUGGGAGCAUUGGAUUGCCAUGAAAAUAUCCCUAAGUACUUGAGAAGCACUAAGGGAUUAUUCAUCGUCUUUGAAGAAGAGUUAAAGCUAAGAGUGGGAAGAUACAAUGAUGCUAAUGGUAGAAUGUCUACAUCAGCAUGUAUGGUUCAAUUUAUUGGAAGGGUUUCAGGCAAUCGACCAAUGAAAGCUGAAUAUGCUAUAGAUGUGCAGGAUGCGCUCUGAUUCUUAUGAUAGUUGCAGAACUGGAUGUCAUACCAUUAGAUGCUAUGAUAUUGUACUGCAAAGAUAAUGGUCCAUAGCCCUUGCUAAGGAGUCAAGAUCUCACCAGAAGUCCAUGCAUAUAGAACAAAGAUAUACGCAAUUACCUCAAGUAGAAAUAUAUAGAAGUAUAGAGAGUAAACUCCACAUAAUAGUGGUAGGCCCAAGUCACCUAGCCAGCUAAACACAGAAGCCUAUCUUCAGAAGAUGGGGCUCAGAUAUAUGGCAGAUUGGCUUUAGUAUAAGUGAGAGUUUGUUAGAUGUGUGCUCUAGAAGCCAAUCUUGACUGACACUUACUUGUCUCUAGAGCAUGUUUUGUACUUGAUGGGCAAUCUUUAUAACCAAUCAUGUUAUUUAUGUCUAUGAUUUGUCCUAGAAUUAACAAAGAUGAUUUUGUAUAUUCUCAAGAUAUUGAGAAUUUGAAACAUACAUCAUUAGUUAAUUUCUAAAUGCUUCCGAUCAAAGGAUCGUCACGAAAAAUAGUGAUCAAUCCAUUCAAGAUCGAUGCACAGAUCACCUCCCUUUAGAUAGAUGAGUCUCGAGUCUGCAGUGUAGAGAGACUGGGAUAAGAGUGCAGGUGGUUGUUAGAGAACAACUUGCACUGAGCGUGACCAACAUGAGAAAUCACUUGGAUGUCUACUCACUCGUCAGUGAUUUUCUCGAUGUUGCAGUGGUAUGACUGAUCCUUUGACCUGCGGUGUGUUGGCUAUUCGCAGCAAGGCUACUUAGUUUAACUGCAUGUUCCCUUGAUCCCCAGCUAUUCGGGUUCUUGUUAUGCAUGUUGGCUAUUGUAGGUUCAGGUUCGCUGUUUGGAGUAGGAUGCACCUAGAUGGAAUCUAUCGACCUUGAUGGAAAAAGAGAAGUCCUAUGUGAUUCACAAGACAAUUCAAGAAAUCUCUGGCCAAAGUGUGAAUAGUGGAAAAAAGUUUCCAUGAAAUUCACAAAUGAACUCAAAUCGAGCUAAUCUAGCAUAUGACUGACAAUGGGGUUUGACGAGUUCUCCAUGACCUCCAUCAAGUCGGGACUCACGAUAGAGGAAUUGCAUUGCACGAUAAUUGCACCUAGGGAUUCAUCUUUUCUAUUCUACUGGGUUACCACUACAUGCUGCUAGACGUCACUGGUGGAUCGUGAGAACUCACUUAGAUCAUUUUCGGAUCAACGAUCUUUGUUAAAGUGAGUUAGAAUCGUUUCAGCCCAUCGAAAAGAGUUUCGAUGAUACUGUGAUGGAGAUCACGAUGUCUCACUAUCAGACAUAAUAGAACCUGAAGGGUCACAUACAAAAGAAGCAUGACCUGAUCAAUGGCUUGGAUCAUAUUUGAAUUAUCAAUCGGAUUGAUAGUUUGAAUUUUAGAAACUGCUAAUUUGUAAUCGUUACAGUUUUGACAGCUGCUAAUUGUUAGCGCAGAGACUUAUUGCAAAUAUUGUAAUUUUUUGGAACUGAUUAAAUUAUGAAAUCUUAAUUAAUUUAAAUCAGAUUUAAUUUAAUUUAAUUUAAUGCUAAUUGGGUACAAUUAUUCAAAUCAGAUUUGAAUUUCAAGCUCGAUUGGAUCUAACUUGACGGCCUUUCGAAUUCGACUCGAUUUGGAUUCGAUUUGAACCCGAUUAAGACCCAACUUGAACCAGUUGAACCAUGAUUCAGAGAGCCCAAGUUCGCUAGGACUCUCUCUCCAGUUUUCAUGCAGAGAAGAGAAGGGAGCGCAUGAAAAUGCGCCCCCUUUGUUUUUGCGCGCAUGAAAGGGGAGGGGGCAUGGCGCCCCACCUUAUCUGGGUUUCUCUUUCUUCCAAAUUUUUUUCUAUUUGAAUAUGAUUCAAAAUAGGAUAAAAACUUAUCUGAUUGGGGCAUGAAAGAAAUUUUUUUGCGCAAUAAGAAAAUUGAAGAAAGUGGACAUGCGUUAAUUGUGAGAGGAGAUUUCUUUCUUACAAUACAACAUUAUCUCAAAGCCCUUCUAUCCAUUGAUUUGGAUUGGAACGCCUAUGAUUUAAAGAGAUUAGAUCUCUUGGGCGUUAAGAAGGGUUUGGGCGUGAGAUAUUUGUUGGUUGAUGCGACAAAAGAUAAAAGAAGAGAGGUGGCGUGCGUGAGAUAGGAAGAGGGUCUUCUUACUGCAAACAUCCAUCCAACGCCUCCUUUCUUUCUCCCCUUCAUCCCCAAUGCCCAAAUCUGAUAGGUGAUCAGAUCUAAAAGAGAAAAAGAGAGAGAAGAAGAGAAGAAGGGUUCUUCUUUCCUUCGUGGUGAUCUGGUUCAAAUUCCGUCGGAUCUGCGCGAAAGAGUUCGUGCAGCGAUCUCCUUCAAGAUCUAGAAGAAGAGAUCUAAAUCCAAAGUUGAGGAGCGAGAUCUGCAAGGUGCUAGCACACCAAUGAUCUCGAUGCUCUGAUCAGACGUCUCCGUGUGGAUACCGGCAAAAGCCCGACGCAUGCGCGGCUACGAUCAGAACUCUGGACAUCCGCAGGAUCCAAGGUAUGGAGAUCUAAUCUCCGAUUAUUUUUCUAACGAUUGUUUUUCUUUUUGAUUUUAGAUCAUGGUUGCAUGUUCAUGUCAAGAUCCUUGCUACGGUUUUCGGAUCAGAUCUGAUACAUAAAUAAAUUAAAAAUAUUUUAAUUUAUUUAUUUUUGCUGCAUAGAUGUUUAGAAAAAUUUUAAACUACACGUACGAAACCGUAAUGAUUUUCUAACACUUCG